AACUCAUCGAGACCAGCCGAGGGACAGGCCCGACGACGCUGGGGCAACCACCGAAACUUCGGAAUGGUGCCAACUCCUGCGGAAGUGCGCUUCCGACAGAUGAGAG
Molecule: non-coding RNA, 106 nt
Filed under: Asticcacaulis excentricus
Lineage: Bacteria; Pseudomonadati; Pseudomonadota; Alphaproteobacteria; Caulobacterales; Caulobacteraceae
Also listed under: 1 other name
Description: SAM-I sequence
Rfam family: SAM riboswitch aptamer (S box leader)
About the family: The SAM riboswitch is found upstream of a number of genes which code for proteins involved in methionine or cysteine biosynthesis in Gram-positive bacteria. The SAM riboswitch acts at the level of transcription termination control.
Source: RNAcentral